AUGGACCUCGUGGGCAGGAACAGGCAUCAGCACUGGUUCCUCCUCUUUCUGGUGGCAGCUCCAGGAUCAUCUGGAUUUACCUUUAGUGACUACUGGAUGAACUGGGUCCGCCAGACUCCAGGGAAGGGCCUGGAGUGGAUUUCAGACAUUAGUGCUAGUGGUGACACUAUAAGUCUUCAUCAUGGACUGGACUGGAGAAUUCUCUUCCUGGUGACAGAGGCUGCAGGUGUGAACUCCCAGGUGCAGCUAGUGCAGUCAGGGGCUGAGGUGGGAAAACCUGGGACAUCAGUGAAGAUCUCCUGCAAGGCGUCCGGAUACACCUUCACGGGCUACUUGAUGAGCUGGGUGCGGCAGGCCCUGGGACAAGGGCUCAAGUGGAUGGGAUACAUAAAUCCUUACUAUGAUAACACAAACUAUGCACCAAAGUUCCAGGGCAGACUCAAACUUACUGCAGACAAGUCCAAGAACACAGCCUACAUGGAACUGAGCAGGCUGAGCACUGAGGACACUGCCGUGUAUUUUUGUGCAAGAGACACAGUGUGA
Non-coding RNA from Sorex fumeus (smoky shrew), 543 nucleotides. Lineage: Eukaryota; Metazoa; Chordata; Mammalia; Eulipotyphla; Soricidae. The record is from the annotation of a RefSeq genome assembly.